Molecule: ribosomal RNA, 1236 nt
Filed under: Triticum aestivum (bread wheat)
Lineage: Eukaryota; Viridiplantae; Streptophyta; Magnoliopsida; Poales; Poaceae
Description: partial small subunit ribosomal RNA
Source: RNAcentral
AUGCAUCGCAUCAUUAACGCCCACCAAGGCCCCGGCCGCCGCUUCUGCACUACGGAGCUGUUGCACACCAUAAGCGACAUAGAUGCCGUGGAGGCAUGUCUCCUGUCCACCGCUCUGGCUAGGCUCGAGGAGCUUAAGCUUAACAGCUGGAGAGGGGAGCCGCUGCCGGAAUUAGUCUUCCGCUUCUCAGACACCCUCCGUGUUUUCUGCAUUGAAAAGUGCAGCCUCCCGGAUGCCACCGUCCAAAGAUUUCAUUUUCCCCGGCUUCAGCGGCUCGAAAUUGUUCGUAGCAGCACCUCGGAGUGCACACUCCACAGCAUGAUUGCCGGCUGCUCUUCUCUGGAGUGCUUGCUAAUUUCUCGGUGCAGUGGACCUCGUUGCCUCCGGAUCAAUUCACUUGUCCUCAGAAGCGUUACAGAUUUGCGUGUGUCAGUGCUCUUCGCGCCUAAGUUGGAGACCUUAGGCUGUACCAACUCCACCAGGCUCGUCUUUGGUUCUACAGAUAUUAAGGGAUCGCGCACAAUCAAGUGUUUGGCCCUCAGUAUGCCCACUCUUAGUUUGGAUAUGGUUAUUGGACUGAUAAGAAGGUUUCCGUGCUUGAAGAAGUUGUACAUUCAGCGCAACACCUCAAGGAAGAACAAUAAUGCAUGGCGUCGUAAAUACCGCGAUCUGCUCAAAAGUCUUGACAUCCGUCUGAAAAUUAUGACCGACGAUGAGGACUUCUUGGCAAAACAGCCUCGCAAGCUUCAGCUGGAGAAGAGGGCUUCAAGUGAUAAAAUUAUUUGCAUGCGUGGCGCCUGGGUUACUGCAGGAGAGAUGAUGCGGCAUGGAGGAAGCAUGGACAGACAGCUGCACCCACAAGGUUCAGACUUCAGAGUUCAGACAUCACAACCGAGGGAACCUGCUACCUGCUCCCAUUUAAACUUCUCGGUUCAGCAAUUUCUCACAAGUCACAACCAUGUGAAAGUUGCCAAUCGUCGCCUCCAUCGUAUCUCCUUCCACCACUUGUAUAAUCUCCCUCCUCCUCCCUCCCUCCCCACACCAAACAACAUGCCAGAAGUCCACCCCCAAACCGCCACCGCCCUAGAGGGAGUCUUCCUCCUCCAUGCCCUGGAACUUCAGCGGCUUCGCCCAUACCUCCUUCCUCAAUUUCGAGAGCUGAGUUUUAGGACCACGGCUCGGCCGCACCUACGGCCUUCUCAGGCUAGACUUCCAAUGUGGCACGCCUUCCAAUAA